GACGAACGCUGGCGGCGUGCUUAACACAUGCAAGUCGAACGGUGAAGCGCCUUCCUUUUUGGUGGGUGUGGAUGAGUGGCGAACGGGUGAGUAACACGUGAGUAACCUGCCCCCUUCUUCUGGAUAACCGCAUGAAAGUGUGGCUAAUACGGGAUAUUCUGGGUCUGUCGCAUGAUGGGUCUGGGAAAGAUAUUGUUUCGGUGGGGGAUGGGCUCGCGGCCUAUCAGCUUGUUGGUGGGGUGAUGGCCUACCAAGGCGGUGACGGGUAGCCGGCCUGAGAGGGUGGACGAUCACACUGGGACUGAGACACGGCCCAGACUGCUACGGGAGGCAGCAGUGGGGAAUAUUGCACAAUGGGCGCAAGCCUGAUGCAGCGACGCCGCGUGAGGGAUGGAGGCCUUCGGGUUGUGAACCUCUUUCGCCAGUGAAGCAGGCCUGCCUCGUUUGUGGGUGGGUUGACGGUAGCUGGAUAAGAAGCGCCGGCUAACUACGUG
RNAcentral lists this ribosomal RNA (494 nucleotides) under uncultured bacterium. RNAcentral's name for it is "partial 16S ribosomal RNA". It matches the Rfam family "Bacterial small subunit ribosomal RNA", at positions 28 to 507 of the family's 1533-position model. The record is from RNAcentral.